GAUGAACGCUGGCGGCGUGCCUAAUACAUGCAAGUCGAGCGAACAGACGAGGAGCUUGCUCCUCUGACGUUAGCGGCGGACGGGUGAGUAACACGUGGAUAACCUACCUAUAAGACUGGGAUAACUUCGGGAAACCGGAGCUAAUACCGGAUAAUAUAUUGAACCGCAUGGUUCAAUAGUGAAAGACGGUUUUGCUGUCACUUAUAGCUGGAUCCGCGCCGCAUUAGCUAGUUGGUAAGGUAACGGCUUACCAAGGCGACGAUGCGUAGCCGACCUGAAAGGGUGAUCGGCCACACUGGAACUGAGACACGGCCCAGACUCCUACGGGAGGCAGCAGUAGGGAAUCUUCCGCAAUGGGGGAAAGCCUGACGGAGCAACGCCGCGUGAGUGAUGAAGGUCUUCGGAUCGUAAAACUCUGUUAUUAGGGAAGAACAAAUGUGUAAGUAACUAUGCAGGUAUUGACGGUACCUAAUCAGAAAGCCACGGCUAACUACGUG
RNAcentral lists this ribosomal RNA (497 nucleotides) under uncultured bacterium. RNAcentral's name for it is "partial 16S ribosomal RNA". It matches the Rfam family "Bacterial small subunit ribosomal RNA", at positions 28 to 507 of the family's 1533-position model. The record is from RNAcentral.